UACAGAGGUCUCAACCGUUGUUCGGAUUCAUUGGGCGUAAAGGGUGCGUAGGCGGUCGUGCAAGUCGGAUGUGAAAUCUCAGGGCUCAACCCUGAAACUGCAUUCGAUACUGCGUGGCUAGAGUGCUGGAGAGGAGACUGGAAUUUACGGUGUAGCAGUGAAAUGCGUAGAGAUCAUGAGGAAGACCAGUGGCGAAGGCGGGUCUCUGGACAGUUCCUGACACUGAGGCACGAAGGCCAGGGGAGCAAACGGG
RNAcentral lists this ribosomal RNA (253 nucleotides) under uncultured bacterium. RNAcentral's name for it is "partial 16S ribosomal RNA". It matches the Rfam family "Bacterial small subunit ribosomal RNA", at positions 524 to 776 of the family's 1533-position model. The record is from RNAcentral.